ACGAGAGGCCCAAACGUUAUUCGGAAUUACUGGGCUUAAAGAGUUCGUAGGCGGCAUCACAAGCAGGGUGUGAAAGCCCUCGGCUCAACCGAGGAAUUGCGCUCUGAACUGUAGUGCUAGAGGAAUCUAGAGGUGAGCGGAACUGAUGGUGGAGCGGUGAAAUGCGUUGAUAUCAUCAGGAACACCAGUGGCGAAAGCGGCUUACUGGGUCUCUUCUGACGCUGAGGUACGAAAGCUAGGGGAGCAAACAGGA
Molecule: ribosomal RNA, 253 nt
Filed under: uncultured prokaryote
Description: partial 16S ribosomal RNA
Rfam family: Bacterial small subunit ribosomal RNA
Source: RNAcentral